RNAcentral lists this ribosomal RNA (263 nucleotides) under uncultured bacterium. RNAcentral describes it as "partial 16S ribosomal RNA". It matches the Rfam family "Bacterial small subunit ribosomal RNA", at positions 793 to 1055 of the family's 1533-position model. The record is from RNAcentral.
GUCCACGCUGUAAACUAUGGACGCUAGCCGUUGGGUAGCUUGCUAUUCAGUGGCGCAGCUAACGCAUUAAGCGUCCCGCCUGGGGAGUACGGCCGCAAGGUUGAAACUCAAAGGAAUUGACGGGGGCCCGCACAAGCGGUGGAGCAUGUGGUUUAAUUCGACGCAACGCGCAGAACCUUACCAGGGUUUGGACAUCCUGUGCUCACUGGUGAAAGCCAGCUUUCCCGCAAGGGACACAGAGACAGGUGCUGCAUGGCUGUCGU